GCCUGCCCAGUGACUACGGGUUCAACGGCCGCGGUAUUUUGACCGUGCAAAGGUAGCGCAAUCACUUGUCUCUUAAAUAGAGACCUGUAUGAAUGGCUAGACGAGGGCUUAACUGUCUCCCCCCUUCGGUCAGUGAAAUUGAUCUAUCCGUGCAGAAGCGGGUAUAACUAUACAAGACGAGAAGACCCUUUGGAGCUUAAGGUACAAAAUUCAACCACGUUAAACGACUCCAUAGAAAGCAAGAACUUAGUGGCGAAUGAAAUUUUACCUUCGGUUGGGGCGACCACGGAGGAAAAAGAAGCCUCCGAGUGGACUGGGCUAAACCCUAAAGCCAAGAGAUACAUCUACAAGCCGCAGAACAUCUGACCAAUAAUGAUCCGACUGAAAAGCCGAUCAACGAACCAAGUUACCCUAGGGAUAACAGCGCAAUCCUCUCCCAGAGUCCAUAUCGACGAGGGGGUUUACGACCUCGAUGUUGGAUCAGGACAUCCUAAUGGUGCAGCCGCUAU
RNAcentral lists this ribosomal RNA (509 nucleotides) under Vimba vimba (vimba bream). RNAcentral describes it as "partial 16S ribosomal RNA". It matches the Rfam family "Bacterial large subunit ribosomal RNA", at positions 1857 to 2565 of the family's 2925-position model. The record is from RNAcentral. Lineage: Eukaryota; Metazoa; Chordata; Actinopteri; Cypriniformes; Leuciscidae.